ACGGGAGGCAGCAGUGAGGAAUAUUGGUCAAUGGGCGAGAGCCUGAACCAGCCAUGUCGCGUGGAGGAAUAAGGAUCUAUGGUUCGUAAACUCCUUUUGCGGGGGGAUAAAGUGCGGGACGCGUCCCGCUUUGCAGGUACCCCGCGAAUAAGCAUCGGCUAACUCCGUGCCAGCAGCCGCGGUAAUACGGAGGAUGCGAGCGUUAUCCGGAUUUAUUGGGUUUAAAGGGUGCGCAGGCGGCACGUUAAGUCAGCGGUGAAAUGCAGGGGCUCAACCCCGGCACUGCCGUUGAAACUGGCGAGCUCGAGUACGGAUGAAGUCGGCGGAAUGUGAUGUGUAGCGGUGAAAUGCUUAGAUAUGUCACAGAACACCGAUUGCGAAGGCAGCUGACUAAUCCGCAACUGACGCUCAGGCACGAAAGCGUGGGGAUCGAACAGGAUUAGAUACCCUGGUA
This 454-nucleotide ribosomal RNA is filed under the name uncultured Porphyromonadaceae bacterium. RNAcentral describes it as "partial 16S ribosomal RNA". It matches the Rfam family "Bacterial small subunit ribosomal RNA", at positions 341 to 792 of the family's 1533-position model. The record is from RNAcentral. Lineage: Bacteria; Pseudomonadati; Bacteroidota; Bacteroidia; Bacteroidales; Porphyromonadaceae.